This 301-nucleotide long non-coding RNA is filed under the name Populus trichocarpa (black cottonwood). RNAcentral describes it as "long non-coding RNA (PTRI_LNC002608)". Lineage: Eukaryota; Viridiplantae; Streptophyta; Magnoliopsida; Malpighiales; Salicaceae. The record is from RNAcentral.
CCGUCGUACAAGAAAUACGAGCUCCGAACCAAAGAAUCCGCUACACACUCGUACACUGGACACCAUUGCAACAGGUACCCUCCUUUAAUCAAUGAGGCUCGCCUCAUGCAAGGUACAAUAAUUGAACCCAGCGACAUUCAAAUGUCACAACCUUUGAAAUUUUUAAACCUCUCUUAUUAUUCCUUCCAUGGAUCAAGGGCUCCAGCUUUGAGCAAUAAAAAUAGCAUCAUUUCUGGAUACUGGGAAACAUCGCUGUAAGUUCACGGCUAAUUAACAUUAAUGUAAUUGAAACCAGUUACAG